Neofelis nebulosa (Clouded leopard) is the source of this 774-nucleotide long non-coding RNA. RefSeq lists it as uncharacterized. The record is from RefSeq and is a predicted model, not a curated record. Lineage: Eukaryota; Metazoa; Chordata; Mammalia; Carnivora; Felidae. The transcript has 3 exons.
GGGGUGGACAAAGGCUAAUACACUCUACUUUUCUCCUCCUCCCUGUUUUGGAUAUGAAUGAAAUGUCUGGAGAAGAAAUAGACAAUAGGAGAGAUAAGGUAAAAGCUAACAAAAUUGCAGAAACAUUGGCCUUGAUACUGCUUAACCACUGAAACGAUACCAGCAAAUGCCCAUCCCUGGACUUCUUUUCAAGUAAAUAAAAACAGCAGCAACAACAACUUGCACUCUCUUUUUAAGACACUGAAUUUAAUUUUUUGUUUGUUAUUUCUAGAGCUAUUCCUAACAGACAUGAAAUGAAAUCAUUCUGCAUUUUUGCAACAUGACCAGUGUUCUUCUAGCAUGAGGACAUCAUCUGCACUCAAUGAUUACAGCGUGAGGACUGGAUGUCAGAUCACACAAGUUUCCCUUCUGGUUUGAUUACACCACAUCACCCUGAUCAUGUUGCUGCUCACUUCUCCCACCUGUAAGAUGAGGAAGAAAAAUAGAGUGACAGGAAGUUGUGCACUGAGGGCCCCAGAAUCUUCACUUCUUCUGGACACAGAACUCCCUUUUGAAUGAGAUGGGUGCAAGAACACCAUUCUGCCUGGAAUCGUUUCUUCUUCCGUAUGUUAGUAGCCAGUUUCAAUACAUUUUGAUAUUUUAUUGGCAUAUUCCACCUCUGGAAAGUUUUUCUGGACUAAAUGCAAAGAAGAUAUACUGAAGUCUAAUUCAUCUAUCAAGUCAAGAAUCUACUCUUAAUUUAAAAAGAAAAAAAAGAAAGAAAAAAAAUCACAA